This 692-nucleotide long non-coding RNA is filed under the name Marmota monax (woodchuck). The record is from RNAcentral. Lineage: Eukaryota; Metazoa; Chordata; Mammalia; Rodentia; Sciuridae.
UCCAAGGGCCUGGCCUUCACUUCCUCCGCUGGCUUGGCAGACCCAAGGCUCCGUUGGCAGGUGGCACCUGUGGCUCAAGAAUCACACUAGUGGAGGGUCCAGGCCCCUGAGCUACCUUUCCUGAACUUCCUUCGAGGGGGCACAGCACCAGACAGCAGAGUGGCCGGGAACAGCAGCCGGGCGACUUGCUCCCUCGUUGCAGCUGUGCUGUGAGGUGCCCACGGCACGCGUGGUGAGCCGGGCCUGGGCACGCUCACCCGCCCGUGAAACCUGGUGUGCCUCUCCUGGAGGGGAGAGGGAAGCCCGAGGCCUGAGACACGUUCCUGAGGGCGUCUGCACAUCUGCUGGCUGAGGCUUGCUGGGUCAGGAUGGGCUCUGACCCAGGACAGGACGUCCUCCCUGCAGGCCGCACACGGUGUCUAGGCCCGCCCAUGAGCUCUCAGCCCCUCAGCCCCUCAGCCCGCUGUGCUGUAAGGAAUCCUCUUGGCCCCGAGGACGAAGGCUCGGGUCCUUAAUUGCUCAAGGAGAUGAGACAUUUUCUGCUUGAAAAGAAAAGAGAGAAUAAACCCGGCCCUCCUCCACCCCAGCUCCCUGCCUGUGCCAGGUCUGCUGCUCCCGGCCCUCCCUUCCUCCCCAUGGUGGGGAGACAGAAAGGCCUUCUGAGGUGGUGGCCGCUCUUCUGCCUCCGUAUU